AACGUAGGUUCCGAGCGUUAUCCGGAUUUACUGGGCGUAAAGCGCGUUCAGGCGGUUUGGCAAGUCGGGCAUGAAAUCUCUCGGCUCAACCGGGAGAGGUUGUCCGAUACUUCCAGACUUGAGGGCAGUAGAGGGUGGUGGAAUUCCGGGUGUAGUGGUGAAAUGCGUAGAUAUCCGGAGGAACACCAGUGGCGAAAGCGGCCACCUGGACUGCACCUGACGCUGACACGUGAAAGCUAGGGGAGCGAACGGG
This 253-nucleotide ribosomal RNA is filed under the name uncultured bacterium. RNAcentral describes it as "partial 16S ribosomal RNA". It matches the Rfam family "Bacterial small subunit ribosomal RNA", at positions 524 to 776 of the family's 1533-position model. The record is from RNAcentral.